Molecule: ribosomal RNA, 341 nt
Filed under: Omosudis lowii (hammerjaw)
Lineage: Eukaryota; Metazoa; Chordata; Actinopteri; Aulopiformes; Alepisauridae
Description: partial 12S ribosomal RNA
Source: RNAcentral
AUAGUACCCUACAAUUUCUAUCCGCCCGNNAACUCACACAUGCCACCAGCUUAAAACCCAAAGGACUUGGCGGUGCUUUAGACCCACCUAGAGGAGNNUCUUACUAGAACCGCUCACCCGCCGGUUACACUUAACUGAUGGUUAUGUCGAUCCGCCUAUAUACCGCCGUCGUCAGCUUCCCCUGUGAAGGCCGUCGUAGCAAUUGCCGCCAACGUCAGGCAGGUGUACGUCAAGUCGGAAGAAGAUGGGCUACAUUCUCUGACCCAGAAAAUUUUACGGAAGGACAAAUGAAAAGCAAACCCGAAGGAGGAUUUAGCAGUAAGCAGAAAGUAGAGCGUUCU